GCCAGGCAUGGUGGUGUACACCUGUAAUCCCAGCCACUGGGAGGCUGAAGCAGGAGAAUCCCAAGUUCAAAGCCAGCCUCAGCAACCGCAAGGUGCUGAGCAACUUAGUGAGACCCUGUCUAUA
RNAcentral lists this small RNA (124 nucleotides) under Marmota monax (woodchuck). Lineage: Eukaryota; Metazoa; Chordata; Mammalia; Rodentia; Sciuridae. The record is from RNAcentral.